RNAcentral lists this non-coding RNA (45 nucleotides) under Schistosoma mansoni. The record is from RNAcentral. Lineage: Eukaryota; Metazoa; Platyhelminthes; Trematoda; Strigeidida; Schistosomatidae.
GUCCUGCUGACGAGUCCCAAACAGGACGAAAUGCGCGUUUUGGAU